GCCUUCGUGGUGUAGCGGUCAGCAUGCUCGACGCGUAACCGAGAGGUCCGUGGUUCGAUUCCUGGCGAAGGCA
Molecule: transfer RNA, 73 nt
Filed under: Stegodyphus mimosarum
Lineage: Eukaryota; Metazoa; Arthropoda; Arachnida; Araneae; Eresidae
Rfam family: tRNA
About the family: Transfer RNA (tRNA) molecules are approximately 80 nucleotides in length. Their secondary structure includes four short double-helical elements and three loops (D, anti-codon, and T loops).
Source: Rfam by way of RNAcentral